CGCACCUUGCACCCUCUGGUAUUCCGGAGGGUAUGCCUGUUUGAGUGUCAUGAAGCAUCAACCCCGACGGGAGACCGUCUUGGUUGGAUCUGGGCGUCUGCCAUGCGUGGCUCGCCUUAAAAGCAUCAGUGGAUCUGGUCGGAGACCGUUGGCGAAUUAGGUUACGCCACGUGGUCCGAGCCCUGCCGCUCACAACCCCUGCCCUCGGGCAACUUCUUUUUGACUUGACCUCAGAUCAGGUAGGACUACCCGCUGAACUUAA
Molecule: unclassified non-coding RNA, 262 nt
Filed under: Sugitazyma miyagiana
Lineage: Eukaryota; Fungi; Basidiomycota; Tremellomycetes; Tremellales; Trimorphomycetaceae
Description: partial contains 5.8S ribosomal RNA, internal transcribed spacer 2, and large subunit ribosomal RNA
Source: RNAcentral